AUCCUGUCUGAAGAUGGGGGGACCAUCCUCCAAGGCUAAAUACUCGUAAUCGACCGAUAGUGAACCAGUACCGUGAGGGAAAGGCGAAAAGAACCCCGGGAGGGGAGUGAAAUAGAUCCUGAAACCGUAUGCAUACAAACAGUGGGAGCGGACUUGUUCCGUGACUGCGUACCUUUUGUAUAAUGGGUCAGCGACUUACAUUCAGUAGCAAGCUUAACCGAUAGGGGAGGCGUAGCGAAAGCGAGUCCGAAUAGGGCGUUCAGUUGCUGGGUGUAGACCCGAAACCAAGUGAUCUAUCCAUGGCCAGGAUGAAGGUGCCGUAACAGGUACUGGAGGUCCGAACCCACAAAUGUUGAAAAAUUUGGGGAUGAGCUGUGGAUAGGGGUGAAAGGCUAAACAAACUUGGAAAUAGCUGGUUCUCUCCGAAAACUAUUUAGGUAGUGCCUCGUAAAUCACUCUUGGGGGUAGAGCACUGUUAUGGCUAGGGGGUUCACAAGAACUUACCAAACCAUUGCAAACUCCGAAUACUGAGAAGUGCAAUUACGGGAGACAGUCCAUGGGUGCUAACGUCCGUGGACAAGAGGGAAACAACCCAGACCGCCAGCUAAGGUCCCAAAUGACGUGCUAAGUGGAAAACGAAGUGGGAAGGCAUAGACAGCUAGGAGGUUGGCUUAGAAGCAGCCACCCUUUAAAGAAAGCGUAAUAGCUCACUAGUCGAGUCGUCCCGCGCGGAAGAUGUAACGGGGCUAAGCACGUAACCGAAGCUGCGGACGCAUUUAAUGCGUGGUAGGAGAGCGUUCUGUAGGUCUGUGAAGGUGUUCUGUGAGGAAUGCUGGAGAUAUCAGAAGUGCGAAUGCUGACAUGAGUAGCGAUAAAGGGGGUGAAAAGCCCCCUCGCCGAAAGCCCAAGGUUUCCUGCGCAACGUUCAUCGGCGCAGGGUGAGUCGGCCCCUAAGGUGAGGCAGAGAUGCGUAGCUGAUGGGAAACAGGUUAAUAUUCCUGUACUUUAAUAUGAUGCGAUGUGGGGACGGAGAAGGUUAGGUCAUCCAACUGUUGGAAUAGUUGGUUCAAGCGUGUAGGGAGAUCUCUUAGGCAAAUCCGGGAGGUCAAUUCUGAGACGUGAUGACGAGGCACUUCGGUGCUGAAGUGAUUGAUACCAUGCUUCCAAGAAAAGCCACUAAGCUUCAGUCAUAUUAGAACCGUACCGCAAACCGACACAGGUGGGCAGGAUGAGAAUUCUAAGGCGCUUGAGAGAACCCGGGAGAAGGAACUCGGCAAAUUUGCACCGUAACUUCGGGAGAAGGUGCGCCCCGGUAGGUUGUAGAGAUUUACUCUCGAAGGCCGAUGGGGUUGCAGUGAAAAGGUGGCUGCGACUGUUUAAUAAAAACACAGCACUCUGCAAACACGAAAGUGGACGUAUAGGGUGUGACGCCUGCCCGGUGCCGGAAGGUUAAUUGAUGGGGUGCAAGCUCUUGAUCGAAGCCCCGGUAAACGGCGGCCGUAACUAUAACGGUCCUAAGGUAGCGAAAUUCCUUGUCGG
This 1539-nucleotide ribosomal RNA is filed under the name freshwater metagenome. RNAcentral describes it as "bacterial LSU rRNA". It matches the Rfam family "Bacterial large subunit ribosomal RNA", at positions 431 to 1975 of the family's 2925-position model. The record is from RNAcentral.